GGCUGCCCGAAGUCUUCACACAUAUCCACGUGGUGCCAUACUGGCACAUAAAGUAGUUCUAAGAUUUUUUAAAGUUUUGAAUGUGUUUUUUUUCAAUCUUCCUUUUGGGUCUAUCUGUGUGGUAUGAUGCAGUGCUAUGUGGUGACACCUACACUGGCUGGGUCAGAUACCAGCAGCCUUAUUGCCGCUCUGGCAUGGGGCACUUCUAGGUGACUGGGUCUGUUAAGCAACACAUGUUCUUUAUGGUAUCCUACCAUCUCUUCUGUCUAUCACAUUCUCAGGUUUAUAACUCAGGGUCGUGUCCUUACUGCAUGCUGUAUACUUAGGUGGCUUUUUCUUCUUUUUUUUCUUUUUUCACAUGAAGCUGUUCUCUGAGGCUGCUGUGUCAGUUGGCCCUCACUAGCCAUCGCCUCAUGCCAUAAGAGUUUUCCAUCCUUUUUUGCCAGGGGCACUGAAUAAAUUCACGGUCUGAGUAUCCUCCUCCCUAAUCUGUGCUUUGGUCUGUUGACCACCCCAUUUUCUUUCAUUCAUCACUUUUCAACUAAUGCAAAUAGGAUGAAAUAUUGACUUUUUUUUUAGCCAAGAAAAAUACUCCCAUUGAUAUUAAUGGCCCUUGUAUUGUUCCUGUUUCUUAAGGCUUCUUUUUCUCCACAUCUUCUCCUUUCUUUUCUGUCUUACACUUCAUCUUUUCAUAUGCCUUACCUUUCUCAGAAACUCAGGUCCUCUAGCUACUGUAUCUUAUUUUCCUAUUCAGCUUCCUAUAUUACUUAUUCCUAUAUUCUUACAUAUUCGUACAACUCUACUUUCUUCUCUUAGGCUUGAAACCUCUGAUUUGGAUCUUCUUAUGUCAGUGUUCAGACUCUCCAUGCCUUUUGCCUAUUCCUUUCAUUUCUCUUAGCUGUUCAUUGCUAUUCUUUUAAAACUCUUCUAAGAAUUACUGAGGCAGCAAUAUUUAAAGCAUUACUGUUACCAAAAGCUAACACUUUGUCAGUUUUAGUGUUACAACUCGUGAGGUCCCAGGUGUCUGCUGGAGCAGGAAUACCUUUGCCCAGUUGUGGUGGUUUCUGUCACACCUUUUCUGUGACAGCACUGAAUGUAAAUGGAUGCGGAACUGGAUGUAGCUCAUGGGUCAGCUGAUGUGAGAGGUAAAGGAUGCAUAUAACUUGAGGAAAUUCAUUAGUCGUAAUAAUUUCUGCCAACUCCAGAAGAAAGUAGGAAUAUAUGUCUCCAGGGCACAUUAUUUUCUGGGAUGCUUUUGGGAUGGUGUUAUUUAUGCCCCACCCAUAGGCAAGCAUGGGAAUAAAAGGCAUAAUCAAAGCCUUAUUUAGUUUAAAUAUAGAUCUCUGUGGUUCUGGAACAGCAAAUCCUUCAUUUACAUCUCUGCUGAUGGUCAUGUAGAGUGUGUGGGCACAGAAUCAUUACCAGUGACAUCCUUUCAGUCUUUACUGGGUAACUGUGCAUGCACUGAGGCUUGUAAAACCAGGAGGUAAACGCCCUCACUGACACCAGGAUUGUCAGUGCUAUUACACUGCAAGUUGCUGUAGUGUAUUAGUUUAAAAAAUACAGAUAUGUGUAUUGGUAUCCAUGAAUUUCUGCUCCGUGUAAUUUCACAUAUCCACAGAAUUUAAACACCUGCCUUCAUCCACCCCUCCAGCAUAGGAAAGGGAAUGAGCCCCAAGGCAGAGAACCCCUCACUGGGCGUGUCUCAUCCUUUUAGACCUCAGCCCCAAGCAGCCUAAGGCCUCAGAAGCUCAGAUUAGCUGUCAGUAGAGUCCGGGAAGCAGAAUCCAUAGUUCAACAUUCGAUUCAGUUUAAAAUCUGUUUUAUUCCUCUCAAUUUUCUUUGAUGGUCUUUCAGCUUUCCCUGGAGUUGUGUAAAGGCUGAUUUUGCCGAUACUGGCAUUUCCACCAAAAGAAAUUCUCCUAAGGAAAAUCUCUUAAGUUAAAUAUAGGAGAACAUUUUACAUGAUGUGAUAAAGAUAUAAUAAGCUUUUUUACAUUUAAUUCUAGGCUGUUUGAUGUUUGUGGUAUUUAUUUUUCAGGUAGCCCAGACAUACUUUUGUCAUUGUUCUAUUUCAUUGACAAAAAUCAGUUACUGCUUUAGAUUUUUUACUACUAUUUCAGUUUUCUUUAUAUGUUUAUGUUUUAGUGUUUCUUUUCAGUGACUAAUGGAUAGGCUGCAUAUUUACAAAAAUAUGGAGGAGCUUGAUGUAAUAGUACUCCUAAGAGAUGUGGGACCUGGACCAGUACUCAAAGACCAGUGUGUCUGGGAGUGGAUGUCAACACAUGAAAAUGGUAUUGAAGUUAUGCACAUAUCAAAAAUGUUUUGCUGCUAAUAGCACAUCAGGAGAUCGGCAUACUGAUAUUUUGUCAAACUGCAACAUAGUCUGUCUUGCUACAAAUACACAGACAACCUGUGGGGCACAGACACAAAUAGCACAAGCAGUAAAAUCAGUAAUUGUAUUCUGUUCUCAGUUAAAGCACCUUGUCACUAUUAAUUCUGAUGGAAACUUUAUGUUCCAUGGUACUCUCAUACCAGGGGGACAGUGGCCAUGCAGCUAACCAUUGUAUGCAGAUAUAACUGUGUCUAUACCAGUCACCCACUCUCUAUAAAUUUAUGUUAAUUUCUUUCCUUAUAGGUCAUUGUCUCAUGCUGCUUGCAGACACAGUUGUUCUUGUUCUGGAAGACAAAGGAGUAACACAUGGUAAUGGCUAUGGUGAAAGAUAAUCCACAACAUUCCUUUUUACUUUCAGAAUUUAGAGAUUUUUAAACAAAAUUAGUCCUGUCAGUUUUGCACAUUUAAAUCAGUAUGCAAUUUUCACUUCAUUUCCUCACUCACUUUCUACAAACAGUAAAUGAAGUGCUCUUAUUCUCAGCUAUUAAUUUUAUUGUGUUCCAGAAAUGAUGGGCCAUGCGUUCCUACUCUGAAGUGACUUACAGCUGGUCAAGUCUUCAGCCAGAAGACACUGAGGCUGAUAAACUUUUUCCUGUCUACUGAGGUCCACACUCUCUAGCUUCAGCACCUAACUCUUUGAAUCCUACUUAUGCAUAAAAAAAUUGACAUCUUGUCAGUGGUGUGACCCUGCAUAUCCUGUGAAUCAUGAGUUUUGAAGGGCAGGACAAAAUAAAGGAAAGACUGAAAUAAAGGUCUGAUGCUCUUUGUGACAUGUCUCUUCAACAUGCUGUAGGUUUCCAAGGACUCUGGGCAAGGAGAGAUACCGUUGAAAGACUAUGUCCUCCUAAUAAAUCUCAUCCAUAAUGUAUGCAGGCAACAGUUUAUAGACAUUUAAAGAGAAGAAAGGAAAAAGUAUGCUGUUUGUUUUAGAGUUGAACUCGAGGUUUCUUGUGCCUCUUGCUUUCAGAAGUUCAGCAUAUUCCUGCAGUCCUCGAGAGAUAUGUAAAUGAUAAGAAGAAAGACAAAUGAACACUUUCAGGACCCUUCAGGACCAGUGUGUUAUGAGGGACAUGGAAGAGGAGGUUGAAACCAACCUGAAAAUUCUCCGAGGUCUUUCCUGGAGUGGCUGCCCUUUCUGAAGAAAUGCUUCUGUGUUUGGCUGAAAAGAAAUGGCAUCUGGGGCAGGAUGAAACCAAAGUCCUGGCACAACGAGCAAAACCAGGUUGAUUUCUGGAUGUCAAAGGCCACUGCCCCAAAUGGACGCCUUCAGAGGAGCCUUUCUCACUAUGAAGGAAAGUGGAAUCAUCAUCAUCAUCUAGAAAUUUACCAUCUCUGGUUAUAAUUAAUUAGUUGAUAACUGGUUUGGUGUGAGCAGUCAAUGCUGCUGUUCUGUGGGACUAGGUGUAUGCAUUGCUGUUGUCCUGUAUAGUAGGACUAGCCUCUCACCCCAGAGCCUUAACAGAUUUUCACGGUGGGAAUGACUGAGCAAUGCUAGAACUGUUGAUAAAAAGCAUAUGGCCAUACUUUGUUGAGAAGCAUCUGUUUAUAUACAGAAAAGGUUAUUACCCCCCCUUAUUUUAAAGUCCAUUGAUUGCCAUGGGAGAUGUCCUAAUAUAUAUGUAGAACAUCCUAGAAUCUCUAAAAGUGAUACCAGCAACUUCAAAAGAUCUGGACUGAUUUUUAUGAAUUUUAUUGCAAGUGGAAGAUUUGUUCUCAGAAACACCUAUGGCAUUGAGAGUCCUCCAUUCAUUCUGAGGCAGUUGACUUACAUUUUAUUUAUGCAGCUUAUAAAUCUUUUUUGCUGGGCACUUGUGUCAGUUAAAGGAGCUGGUAAAGAGUAGAUGCAGGAAGGAAUGCACUUUUGGAAUAUGGUCAGAUGUCCCUGCUAUGGUUCUGUGUUAUUCAGAAAUAGCUGCCUACUGUGAAUGCUGCUUGCUACAGCUCGCAAAACUUUUUCUAAAGCAAGGGAAAGCCUGUGGCAGGAAGAAGUGGGCUGGCUGCUGAGUAAUUCCGUCAGUCACAUCAGACUGCCCUUGAAGAUGCUGUAACAACUCCUGCAAACUGAGUCCUCAAUGCUCUGUGCCUUUUGUCAUAUGAAGAGGAGGCACAAAGCCUGGGAACAUGACAUUCGUUUCUCUGACAUGCUUUGGUUAUGAUUACUGCAAAUAUCAUGUCCUGUGUAAGAACAUAACUUCUUUUUAGGAGGGAUUUCAGUAUAAUGCAUGUGGGUUUUCUAUGCAAAACCUGUUCACAGUUUAUGCAGCUCAAAGUGGGAGACAAUGGAUUGUUUGAGUUGCAAAACUAUGGAUGUAAAAAUAACUUCAAAGAUUUUGAAAUAAACCAUGAAGACUAUAUAAAACUAAAUGUUAUUAAAAAUAAUGGAGAAAAAAAUGCUAGAUAAUAGUGCCAUGAAGAAUACGCCCAGGAAAGUCACAGGAAAGUGUUGUUGGAAAAGUGGUGUAGCAGGCAAAUGCCCUGUGGUUUUGUACAGCAGAAAGCUGCAGACGUGAAAGUGAAUCCUGUGCUGCACGGACAGGCUGAGCAGAUGAGUCCACUGUAUGGUUUCUGGGACACAUUGGGUGCGAAUUCUCUUUUUUCAAGUCUGUGUAUGGGAACCAGCACUGGAUCAAAGCCAAAGUCUCGGCAACUGUCACCCAGGAAUAUAAUCUUAACACUUUCUCUUUUCUGGAUUUUAGGGUUUUUUUUAAUUCUUUCCCUUUCAGGACUUCCCAUAUUGGCUUGUGGCAGGAUAAUCAGAGAGGAAUAUGUGAGAUGGAGAUGGUAGAAGUCUGUGAAUGAUGAUCGGUUGUAUUUGGAGUUGGAAAGAGGAGAUCAACUUCCUGCAAAUUCUGACACCACAGUCAGUUUGAGGAAUGAUAAUGGGAGUGGGUUAAAAAGAGUGGUUUGAGAAGGAGGGCCAACAUGCAGAACCCUCUCAGAGUUGCAUGAUGUCUGGAGACUCCAGGCUUAGAAAGGCUAAAGGUGGCCAAACUGGGGCUGCCACUGUGGAACACUUUGUGUACAAAAAUUUUAGUGUGGAGGGGACAGAGCAGGUUUCAGUGCCUGCCAUCACUCAAGCAGUGAGUGGAUAUUUGGAAAGGAAAGUGUGAAAGAAGGGUGGUGGUGGGAUAAACCAGUGAGACAGGAAAGGGAUGAAGGGGACAUCCCCAUGGUAGGACCAGGCAGGUACCCACACCAUUUCACCACAUGCUUCCACGUAAAUCCAGUUCUGGAGCAGCUUAAUUACAUGCUUUGAAAGAGCAGCUGAUUUUAUGCAGACCACCUCAAACUGACCAGGCAACAAAGUGUAAAUAAGCCGUAACUCUGAAGUUUCUUUAAAUUACUGAUUGUCUGCAAUGAAUCAAGGUGGAUCCUGUUUAGUUGCUAGCCUGAGGGCAAAAUUAGCUGAGGAUAUUUUACAAACUGAUGUUUGACUCACUCAAGCUACUCUGUAAAUUGUCUUGAACAGUUGAAAGGUGCCAAAGUGUUCCUAUUUGUGGAAAAUUUUAUUUUCUUUUUGUGUUUUCCUAUAUGACUGUUAAGUUCCCAUUGUGCCUAAGAUAAAAGCACAAGCAGUUCCACUGUGCCUUUUUAGUUUUAUUUCUAUUUAAAAAAAUGACGAGUGUAUUAGCAUGCAAGUUGGCUGAGGUGGCAUGACAGAAGUUUUCAUUACAAUGUGAUGAAAAAGCUGAUUUACCUUAGCUCUCCUUGUGCAGCUUCUGAGCAUACAACAUCAAACACCCUCCAAUUAAGGGAAAACAUCUAAUGUGUCUUUGACAAUUACAAGAAGUGCUGUAAAAAUAACCAAGGAUUAAGCGUAGCACAAUUGCUGGCCUGGCACAGUGCCUGCGCAAGGAGCACUGCACGCUGCCACAAGAGAGGGAAGAUUUUUGCUUUUUGGGUCUGUUGCAUUCCUCUGAGAUUGUGGAGGGGAAGUGAUUAGAGGUAACGCCGAGGUUUUUGGCGUGGAAUAACAUAGCGGCAGCACCUUCCCUGGGCACUGUGGGAGGACGUACCCAGGGCUGGCUCUGAAAGGGCUGUCAGCCCAGCCCUCUGUGCCUUCUUUUGCAGGGAAAGCCAGAGGCGUCUUCAGACACAAUCCAACAGGUAUCAAAUAUGACAACAUAACCCCGCGUAAAGGGUGUGAUAGGCAAAAAGCAAUCAGGCAAGCAAAUCUGUGUUAAGGCUUGCUUUCAAGGUCUGUUCUUUGUACUAGUCUCUCUAUAAUUCUGCCUACAGCUAGCACAUACCAAAGGCAGCGGGGAGGCCUGUGUGGGCAUGCAAUGAAACCGCUUUGCUCUUUGCUGUGAUCCUUGGCAUGGGAAGCAGUCUUGUCUGAAGAAGAAUACAUAUUCUUUUUUUGUUAUCAGGAGUUGUUUAGUUGUCGUUUUUAAACAGCUUAAAGUAUAAAAAGAGGUAACAACUAGCAGCUGUGGGGCUGCAAGGGAAAGGUACAGUGGGUUUGCUAAAGAGUCUCUAAUACACAAGGUUUCAUGUUGUGCAAUACCUGUGCUAUUUUUCUGAGAAAUAAAUUUUACUCUUGCAAUGACUGUGUGGAAUAUGAUAUGAAUGAACACUAGACUUAGGUAUUAAAAAGGUGAUGUGAAGUGCAAACUGAUA
Long non-coding RNA from Cuculus canorus (common cuckoo), 7015 nucleotides. RefSeq lists it as uncharacterized. The record is from RefSeq and is a predicted model, not a curated record. The transcript has 3 exons. Lineage: Eukaryota; Metazoa; Chordata; Aves; Cuculiformes; Cuculidae.